GCAAUGUUAGACGCAACUCAGCCCUUGAUCAUCACGACGCACGACGCUCCUGCACUGUUGAAGAUUUUCAAAAUUCAUGAAUCUUGAAUUUACGAAUGCAAAAUUUAUAAGGAGGCGCUCCAUUGACGACUUUAACAGCCAUGGCCGACGUGUUCAGGGCCGGGACCAGAGGGCAAAAGGACAGAUGAAUAAAUACAAAGGCGUCGAAGGAUACUGUGUAAGCUGAUUGGUUGAAAAUUCGACGAACUUGGAAUGGCCGCUACCACGAAAACUCGAAGAUAAUAAUGGCACAUUCGUGAUCUA
This is a long non-coding RNA of Bombyx mori (domestic silkworm), 303 nucleotides long. RefSeq lists it as uncharacterized. The transcript has 4 exons. The record is from RefSeq and is a predicted model, not a curated record. NCBI's taxonomy places the organism in Eukaryota, Metazoa, Arthropoda, Insecta, Lepidoptera, Bombycidae.